Molecule: small nucleolar RNA, 208 nt
Organism: Octodon degus (degu)
Lineage: Eukaryota; Metazoa; Chordata; Mammalia; Rodentia; Octodontidae
Gene: U3
Rfam family: Small nucleolar RNA U3
About the family: Small nucleolar RNAs (snoRNAs) are involved in the processing and modification of rRNA in the nucleolus. There are two main classes of snoRNAs: the box C/D class, and the box H/ACA class.
Source: Ensembl
AAGGCUAUACUUUCAGGGAUCGUUUCUGUAGUAUGUUACUAGAGAUAUUUCUCUGGUCAUGUAGAGCACCGGAAACCAUGAGCAGGAGGUGCGGUGCUCCUUCCUGAGCAUGCUGGUACUGCUUUGCUGCAGCUGCCACCUGCCAUUGCCAAGCCUUCUUGCUUUCUCCUUGGAGGGAGCAAGAAGGGAGGUGCACAGCCUGAGUGGC